GCUGGUGUAGGUGAUGACAGUUUUUUCCCCGUCAGAGCGAUAGUGCUGAUUGCUCGCUGCUCAAGCCAGACCGUGUCUGACGCGCCAGC
RNAcentral lists this small nucleolar RNA (89 nucleotides) under Phaethon lepturus (White-tailed tropicbird). Its description in RNAcentral is "Small nucleolar SNORD12/SNORD106". It matches the Rfam family "Small nucleolar SNORD12/SNORD106". Rfam says of the family: This family belong to the C/D class of snoRNA which contain the C (UGAUGA) and D (CUGA) box motifs. This family includes the human ortholog of mouse snoRNA HBII-99 and human snoRNA U106. The record is from Rfam by way of RNAcentral. Lineage: Eukaryota; Metazoa; Chordata; Aves; Phaethontiformes; Phaethontidae.